Long non-coding RNA from Serinus canaria (Common canary), 4103 nucleotides. RefSeq lists it as uncharacterized. NCBI's taxonomy places the organism in Eukaryota, Metazoa, Chordata, Aves, Passeriformes, Fringillidae. The transcript is spliced from 3 exons. The record is from RefSeq and is a predicted model, not a curated record.
AUCUCCACACAUGCAAAGGUCCCUUCUGCCUUUUUUUUUUUUUUUCCCCUUUGAAAUUUCAAAUUCCAGUUUGUGGACAAAGUCCUGCCUAUCUGAGAAUAUAGAUCUCCGACCACUGACCAAACUCCACUUCAAGCAGUCCCGAGGACUGUUCUUCCCCUUGCCCACGGAUGUGUCUGCUCAGUCCUUGGAUUUCUCAGGAUCAUGCUGAAAAUUUUGCACUGGAGCACAGCACUUGUACUUGCACAAAGCGGAUUUUGCACUUAAUGUCAGCAGCUUCCUUUCUGGGAAGAACCUCGGGAAUAACCAGGAAUGCCUGAGUAACCUGUCAUGUCCUCAAUGUCCUCAAUCAGCAGAGCACAGCAAGGGGUGAGUGAAAGCCAGACAACUCUCAGGAGCUCCAUGUCCACAGCAGCUGCACACCCCCCACACACCCUCCUGUGUGACACAACCCUCCUGUCCACUGCCAGAGAAACAAAAACACAGCAGAAAGCAAGGUAUGGGAACAUGAGAACACAGCAAGGGCAGGGGAUCACACGUCCCUACAGUUCCAGAAACCACAGCCAGGACACUGCAGGGACAACUGCCUGGCUCCCAGCUAACAAACAUGGAACUGCUGAUCAGCCUGAGUCACAGCACCCACCAUGCUUCCCCAUGUUGGGGUAUCUCUCUCUUGAGCCCCAGAACCAACUUGGGAACAUGAGCCAUCAUCACCCACAAAGCUGGUAUGUGCACCCUGAAUGAAGCAAAACAGAAACCAAAGACAUGGGGGUCCCAAGCUCUGGGUACCAGCAAUACCAGUGGGAAGGAGCAUAUUUUGGCAGCUCCAAAUCCCCACUGGACACCCUUUAUUCAAUGCCCUUCAUUUGCAUAAACUCUAUAGCGCUGGCUCUGCAGCUGCUUCUCUCCCUGCUGCAACUGCUGGGGGAGCAGGGGGGUACCUGGUGUUUCCUGGAACAGGUGGUAUCUGCUGCCAUUCAUCUUCCAGGGGCGCUCAGCUCCGUGGGCAGAGCUAGGGGAGUCUGGCCCCUGGCUGGGGCCGUGCAGCCGGCGAGCCCCCCGCAGGCAGCGGGGCACGAGCCAUGCCCAGGAGCAGCUUGUGGCGCAGAGCAGGGACAGGCUAAUCCCUUAAUGCUGGUCACAAUGAGAUUUGAUGGGGAGCAGCAGUUUGUACUGCAGAGCCACAGGUUUUAAAGGGUUCUGGCCACUACCCGGAGGAAAAUUAUAAGGUGGCUCUGAGUCUGUGCCCCGCUGCCAGUGCCCACAGCAAUGCCCGCUGCUUUCUGGGCCACCUUUCUGAGCCUGCUCUCUGCCCUGCCACUGGGUUUCUUUAGGGCAGGAGUACCUGACCCUAUGUGCAGGCCUGGAGGUUGAUCCAGAAGUUGUGCCUGGGUGUGUCUAACAGCAGGAGUGAGUCUGGCUCCUCAGGGAGAAGCUGCUUUUGGUUUAAAGUGUUUCUAUAUAAAUAGCCAGAACACCAUAUCCUUGAGCAACAACCUUGGUCUCCCCUCCCAGCUGACAUCACAAUGCAGGAUGACUCAGUCCAGAGGGGAGCAGGGAGGCUGCUGAGCACCCAGAGUUUUCUUUUCUGCAGGAAAUGUGGUCUGGCAAGUGUGGCCAUGUUUAUAAUGGAGGAGGAAAAUCGUGUGAGGGAAUAGAGUGGCACUUCACUAGGGUUUCACAGGCACUGAGUGACUGGAUCGCUGAAAAGGAGACCUGACCUGGGUACCACCUUGGGCUGCAUAGCUGUGACCCAACUAGGGCCAGGUCUCAUCAACCUCUGUGUCCAGAAGAACCAAGUCAGGGACAAACCCAUCUCAAACACCCAUUUUCCUUCCUCCUUGGAUGACUCUUCCUGCCAAGCCCACCUCUGCUUUUGCUGUGCCAAGGAGAAGAGAGCUCAUUCCUGCCCUCCAGAUAUCGAGCCCUAAGCAGCACCUUGAAGGCACUAGUCUAAUGGAGCAAAAGUGUUCCUAAAUCAUUCCUGUCCUGCCUCCACAGACUUCUGCUUCCACCCAGGCCUGCCUGAGGUAUAUUUGAGUUAAUCUGGAGUGCCCACAGUCAGCAGCUCCAGAAUGCUCCUGGAGUGGGGAGUGAGCUCUGUCCCUCAGCUCUGUGCCCAGGGAGGGGUGUGCUGGCAACAGGGGCUGAUGCCCAACACUCCCACGUGGAGCAGGGAGCAGCAUCAAGGGCAGGGCUGGGACUGAACUGUGUGUAACCCUGUGACACCUCCCUGCACCCCUGUGUUGCCACACAGGUUUUAGUGGCUGUAAUAGGAAACACACCCAAGUCAACAGACAUUUCUCCCAGACAAUGGCAGUCUCCAGGCACACACCCAUGGAUGAGCCAGAGGCAGCACUCAGCUCUGCUUCCACCACCUCAGUCCCACCACCUUGAUGGCAGCAGACCCUAGGCAGGUCUCUGGAUCUGAAGCCUAGCUGUUUGUCCCCUUGUCCCUCCUGCAUCCUUAUUCCACUCUUCAUUUUCUGUUGCUGCCUUUGGCCAGCCAACAACGAAACUGCAUGAGCUGCUCCCUCAGGCAUCCAUCAGUGCUUUGUCCUUCCUUGCUGGGCCACCUCCACCUGAGCCUGUCCCUGGCACAGGACCCCCCUUCCCAUGAGGUAUCAAGGCUUUGGGGACCGUGUGGCAAAAUGAUCAGCAUGCCUUGGGAGCAGAGGGGGACAGAAGUGGCUGAGUGGGGCAGAAGGAGCUGGGCUCUGCCUCCAUGAGGGGCACUGGGCCAUAAACCCAGCACGGUGGCUGUCGUUGUGUGUCAGCAAACACGUUGAGUGAGCUUGACUGUUGAUUCUGACCAUAUAAACCAGUGUUGUGGCACUUGUUCAGGUUUGUGCAGGUUUUACAGCUCUUCUUCUGAGAAGUACCCAUGUAUUUGGUUUUGCUCCUUCCUUCAGGUCUAUCUGUUGACAUUGGCUCUCCUAACCAGAGCAUUGGGCCAUGCCAGGAAGCUGAGUGUGCGUCUCUCCUUGUGUUUCCCACUUUCCCAGGAGUUAUCAACUAUAAAAUCUCACACACACCCAUGGCUGGGACAGGUUUCUAGUGCACAGGCAGGUGAAAGGUGUCUGCUGGUCCCCACCACUGGUUGGUGGGUUUGGGUUCCCUGUGCUCAGACAGGAGAUGAGCCACCCACCCUGAGAGAUGGAUGAGAAAAGCUGCAGGGAAGGUCCUACCCUGAAAUUCUGGAGUGGAGUGAGCAAGGUCUGAGUUCUGUAGGGCUGUGAUGAAAAUCAGGCUGUCAAACCAACUUGGGUGUGCAGAGAAGGAGAAGAUGCUCCCAAAGCACCGUCACAGAGGAUAUGGGCUAUGCCUGGUCACCCUCAAUGGAGGCACAUACUAUCACCCAUUCCUCCUUCCAGCCCUCUUCCCAGCAGGAGCUGCCAGCAGCAGUUGUGCCCUCAGGGACACCUUGGUGCUGGAGGCUCAGAGGGCUUGAGCUCACAGUUAUGGUCCCCAUCUGUCUCAGCACCAGAGCUCCAUUACCAUGAGGAUGCAGUUGGAAUCCCUCUGGUGACUGCAGGAUUUUGAGAUAGAUAAUCUGGUCCAACCUCACAGAGCCAGAGUCUGUUUGCUCCUUGACUUUCACAGCCACUUGCUCUGCCUGAGCUGCUCCUCCCACCCCUUUGGUGCAGCAUCCUGAGCCUACCUUAUUUUUUGAGACAUAUUUCCUGAAGGGAUUUGCUGAGUAAUCUCCGUCGAUGCUCAGGCUGGAGCUUGGACAGGAGCUGUUCCUGGGUGAUUGCUUCUGGGACCCAGCUUUGCUCAGAGGUCCCAGUGCCUCUGCCCAGGACAGGAGAGCAGAGCCCUCAGCCCCAGGUUCACCCUACAACCCCUAUCUUGAAAUUCAGCUUCCGUGAAAAUUCUGCAACAUUUGCCAUUUCCACAUACAUUUCUGCCAGGAACCUUGUUUGCUUGAAUAUUUGAGGAGAGCAAACAGAGAAGGAUCCUAAACACAAACAGUCAUGGAUUUUUUUUUUUUUUGCAGUCUUUGCCCUGUUCUAGCCACAAGCCUGCCAGUAGAGAUACUUGCAGGCAUCCCCUGAUGUACCCCUUGGCUCUGCCCUAUGUGCUGCCCUGUGCCCCACUGC